This 73-nucleotide transfer RNA is filed under the name Schistosoma japonicum. Its description in RNAcentral is "tRNA-OTHER". The record is from RNAcentral. Lineage: Eukaryota; Metazoa; Platyhelminthes; Trematoda; Strigeidida; Schistosomatidae.
AACACCAGGCUCAGUGGUUCAAAGCGUUCGCCGAGGAGCCAGAGGGUCCUGGGUUCGAUCCCCGAUGGGGUCG